GAGACCCACGCCCACAGUUGCCAGCGUACUCUCCGGAGUGACGGGUACACUGUGGGGACCGCCGCUGCUAAAGCGGAGGAAGGAAUGGGCAACGGUAGGUCAGUAUGCCCCGAAUGCCCCGGGCUACACGCGAGCUACAAUGACUGGUACAAUGGGUAUCUACCCCGAAAGGGGAUGGAAAUCUCCUAAAGCCAGCCUUAGUUCGGAUCGAGGGCUGUAACUCGCCCUCGUGAAGCUGGAAUCCGUAGUAAUCGCAUAUCAACAGUAUGCGGUGAAUAC
Molecule: ribosomal RNA, 279 nt
Filed under: uncultured methanogenic archaeon
Lineage: Archaea; Methanobacteriati; Methanobacteriota
Description: partial 16S rRNA
Rfam family: Archaeal small subunit ribosomal RNA
Source: RNAcentral